RNAcentral lists this transfer RNA (72 nucleotides) under Camelus dromedarius (Arabian camel). It matches the Rfam family "tRNA". Rfam says of the family: Transfer RNA (tRNA) molecules are approximately 80 nucleotides in length. Their secondary structure includes four short double-helical elements and three loops (D, anti-codon, and T loops). Further hydrogen bonds mediate the characteristic L-shaped molecular structure. tRNAs have two regions of fundamental functional importance: the anti-codon, which is responsible for specific mRNA codon recognition, and the 3' end, to which the tRNAs corresponding amino acid is attached (by aminoacyl-tRNA synthetases). tRNAs cope with the degeneracy of the genetic code in two manners: having more than one tRNA (with a specific anti-codon) for a particular amino acid; and 'wobble' base-pairing, i.e. permitting non-standard base-pairing at the 3rd anti-codon position. Lineage: Eukaryota; Metazoa; Chordata; Mammalia; Artiodactyla; Camelidae. RNAcentral also lists the same sequence under 1 other name. The record is from Rfam by way of RNAcentral.
AAGGGUAUAGCUCAGUGGUAGAUUGUGUGUUUAGCAUGCAUGAGGUCCUGGGUUCAAUCCCUAGUAUCUCUG